AGCGGAGUAGAGCAAUUUGGUAGCUCACGAGGCUCAUAACCUUGAGGUCACGGGUUCGGUUCCCGUCUCCGCAC
RNAcentral lists this transfer RNA (74 nucleotides) under Hordeum vulgare. RNAcentral describes it as "tRNA-Met". It matches the Rfam family "tRNA". From Rfam's summary of the family: Transfer RNA (tRNA) molecules are approximately 80 nucleotides in length. Their secondary structure includes four short double-helical elements and three loops (D, anti-codon, and T loops). Lineage: Eukaryota; Viridiplantae; Streptophyta; Magnoliopsida; Poales; Poaceae. The record is from RNAcentral. RNAcentral also lists the same sequence under 1 other name.